RNAcentral lists this ribosomal RNA (495 nucleotides) under uncultured bacterium. Its description in RNAcentral is "partial 16S ribosomal RNA". It matches the Rfam family "Bacterial small subunit ribosomal RNA", at positions 28 to 507 of the family's 1533-position model. The record is from RNAcentral.
GACGAACGCUGGCGGCGUGCCUAAUACAUGCAAGUCGAACGCUGAAGGAGGAGCUUGCUUCUCUGGAUGAGUUGCGCACGGGUGUGUAACGCGUAGGUAACCUGCCUGGUAUCGGGGGAUAACUCUUGGAAACGCUAGCUAAUACCGCAUAAGAGUAGAUGUCGCAUGACAUUCGCUUAAAAGGUGCAUUUGCAUCACUACCAGAUGGACCUGCGUUGUAUUAGCUAGUUGGUGAGGUAACGGCUCACCAAGGCAACGAUACAUAGCCGACCUGAGAGGGGGGUCGGCCACCCUGGGACGGAGACGCGGCCCAGACCCCUACGGGAGGGAGCAGAAGGGAAACGUCGGCAAGGGACGGAAGGCAGACCGAGCAACGCCGCGUGAGGGAAGAAGGGUUUCGGAUCGGAAAGCUCUGUUGUAAGAGAAGAACGGGAGUGAGAGUGGAAAGUUCACACUGUGACGGUACCUGACCAGAAAGGGACGGCUAACUACGUG